RNAcentral lists this long non-coding RNA (3964 nucleotides) under Lactuca sativa (garden lettuce). Its description in RNAcentral is "long non-coding RNA (LSAT_LNC009914)". The record is from RNAcentral. Lineage: Eukaryota; Viridiplantae; Streptophyta; Magnoliopsida; Asterales; Asteraceae.
AUAUUUGUUAGUAUAUAUAUUUAUUCAUUUAUAGUUUAAUAUUUUCAUUAUACUCUAAUUCGUAGGUUUAUACAUUUAUUAUACUCUAAUUGGUAGAGUAAUUGAAUAAACCCAAAUUCUACCACCACCGUUAACUACCACACGAAGCCACCAACAACUAACCACCGCCAUCACUACUGACAUCAUUCCUUCCUACCACCAUCAAAUCUACCAUUUUUACCUAAUACCGUCGCCGUUCUUCCUUCCUCCCACCACCAUCAGAUAUUGGAUAUCUUAUACUCUAGCAAGCUCCAAAAAUCAUAUCUGAAUAAAAAAGAAUCAUAAUUCACAGUGUAAUAAAACAUAUCAGACACACGUUCACAAUAUUCAGGUAGACUAGGGUGAGCAUCAGGCGGUUAAACAAAUAAUACUAUUUUUAUUUUUGAAAAAACAAAAGACUUGUGAAUUUUCUAUUAAUUAAAAGUCAGGGGUACGUUGUUUCUAUAAAUACAAAAAUUAUUGAGAAAAGUAUUAGUUUUGGUUGAUCUUUAUAUUGUAUCACAGGGCAGUAAUUACUUUUGUUUAUACAUUGAAUAAUCCAAACUAUCAAAUCCAAUUCAGUUUGAACCUGCCACUAAGCUAUUUGAAUUUGAGUCCAUAUCCAAAUAACGGUUUUAUACCAUUUUUGGUUCCAUACUUGAUACUUCUAUUGCAAAAAAGGAGGAAAAAAGCAACAGGGAACGGGGAGCGAGAACUCAUAAGAGAGCAGUUAUAUGAGCUAAUCAAUAAAUAUUUAUCUAAUAUAGCAUACAUAUACAUAUUUUUAUUAAUUAAAAUAAUUUUGAAAUCUUAUUCGGUUUUCGGGUGCAUGCCGAAUAACAUUUGCUAAACCGCCAACCAGAUUAAAGUCUCUUGUUAACCCGCAAACCGAACCACUAACCAAUUAUUCUGAAACUGAAAAACCAAAUAAGGUUUGGUUCGGGUGGUUUCACAAUUUCAAAAGAAUAAGGCUCACUUCUAGUUCAAACACUCAUUCAAAGCUUAAAAGACUAGUUUAGACAUCCAUUCACAACUUAAUAGACUAGUUAGCCACUCAUUCAUAAUAUUUACACUUUUCAAGGCAUUUCACCAAACAUUUUCAUGCAACUUGUUUCUAGAUUUGAGAGUGUUCCUUGCUUCAGAUCCAUGAGCACCAAUAUGAGCACCAAUAGUUCUCUUACACUCUAGCAAUUCCAAAAAAUCAUAAUUCACAAUUUAAUACGACAUUUCAAACAUUCAUUCAUAGUAUUUACAGCUUAAAAAUAGUUUAGACCCUCAUUCACAACAUAAAAGGUUAGGAGUUGUAGGAACAAACUUGGACCAUAAAUCAAUUUUAAAUGAAAGGCCUAUUAUUUUCACGCCUUUUUUAUGAAUUUGGUUCAUUAAAGAUAAUUUUGUCCUUAUAAAUUCUAAUUGAAUAACUUAGAUAUUAAUCUCUCCCGUGAUGAUCCCCCCAACUUCGGUUUUAAUUAGACUAUGCAUAUGAAAAUUCACAAGAAAAAAAUAUGACAUUCAUUAUAUUGUGAAUGUCAAAUUAAUACCAUUAUUGUUCUUAUAAAAACAUUGAAUUUCAAAAAAGACGAUAUUUAGUAUAAUGACUAACUAGGUGUAAAACCCAUGUAUUUCAUGGGUUAAUUUAAAAGAAAAUUUAAAUAUGAAAUUCCAAACAUUUAAAAGUUUGAAUUUAUAAAAAAAAUUAAAAAAAUGUUGAAUUAUUAAAAUUAAUGUGUUUUUUUUUUCUAAAUUUAAACAAAUAAUUUAGAUAAAUAAAAAAGGAAACUAAUGAUAUUUUAAUUUAAAAUUUUUUAAAUUAAAAGGAAAGUCAAUUAAUGAAAUUGAUAAGUAUUUAUUAUUACAUUUAUUAUAAUUAUUAUAUUUAAAUAUUAUAUGGAAUUUGAUAAAAUGAAAAAAACCACAAAAUGACAUGUGGUCAAAUUAAUGAAAGUGUAACAUGUGGACAAAAUGAUUUUCAUUUAUUAUAGUAGAAGUAGACGAGAAUGUCAAAUUAAUAACAUUAUUAACUUUACAAAACAAGAAACGUCCAUAAUUCAUAGUUGAAUAAAUUAAACAAUAUUAUGAAAUUUCAUUUGAUUCAACUGUGAAAAUCAUAAGUUUUUUUUAUUCAUAAACACAAUUUACAAUUUAAUUUUACAUUAUAUUAUUAAAUAUUUUACAAAUUCAACUAAUUUAACUAUGAGCAUGAGGAGCAUUCCUAAAAUUAUAGCUUCAUGAAAACUAUUCACAGUUUAAAAAUUCAUUUAUACUAUCAACUUUCUUCCAAUGCAACUUAUUCAAGUGUGAAUAUGAUUUGACGAAACAUCAUUUACAGUUGAAUAGUUUGUUAAUUUACCAACUAUUAUGAAAUUUCAUCUCUCAUUCAAUCACAAUUAUCGAUAGCGAAUAGCGGUAAAUAACGAUGAGCUACCUAUAAGCUAUGUAGCGAUAGUGAUGGAAUAGCGAACGCUAUUUCGUAUUUAGCGAUAGGCAUAAAAAUAUUAAAAAUAUUUAUUAUGUUCAAAUACUAUAGUUAUUAUAAAUUUAUAAUCAAUAAAUAAGGAAACAAACCAUUAAACUAGAUAAAAACGUUCAAAACUUCAACCCUUAUCUCUUUUAUUCUCAUUUAUCCCUUAAAAAAGAGAGAAAAAAAACGAAAAAAAAAACCCCUAAUGUCGCUAUUUACCACGCUAUUUGUCGCUAAGCACUCAAUAGCGACCAUAUACCUAUACGCUAUGCUAUGCUAUUCGCUAUAGCGACCGCUAUGGUCGCUAUUGACAACUAUUCAUUCAAUUGUGAACAUCAUAAGUUUUGUUAUUCAUGAACACAAUUCAUAAUUUAAUUUUAUAUUAUAUUUACUAAAUAUCUUACAAAUUCAACUAAUUCAACUGUAUUCAGGAGGAUAAUUUCAAAAAUUAUAGUUUCAUGAAAACCAUUCACAGUUUAAAACUUCAUUUAUACUAUCAAUUUUCUUCAAAUGCAACUUAUUCAACUAUGAAUAUGAGUUGUUGAAACAUCAUUCAAUUCAACUAUGAAUGUAUGAAUCAUAGAACCAAAUAUAUAACUAAAUUCAUUUCAUCCUAUCGUGUUCAUCAUAAUGAUUAUAAAUUGUUAUGGAUAUGAGUUGAUGAAAGAUCAUUCACAGUUGAAUAGAUUGUCAAUUAACCGACUAUUAUGAAAUUUCAUCUAAUUCAACUAUGAAUAUCAUAAAAAUUUGUAUUCAUGAACAUCAUUUAUAAUUUAAUUUUAUAUUAUAUUACUAUAUUACUAUAUAUCUUACAAAUUCAACUAAUUCAACGGUAAUCAUGAGGACAAUUCCUAAAAUUAUAGUUUCAAAAAAAUCAUUCACAAUUCAAAAAUUCAUUUAUACUAUCGAUUUUCUUCAAAUGCAACUUAUUCUAUUGUGAAGAUGAUUUGCUGAAGCAUCAUUCAACUGUGAAUGUAUGAAUUAUAUAACCAAAUGUAUAAAUAAAUUUAUUUCAUCCAAUCAUGAUCAUUAUAAUGAUUAUAAACAAGAUAAACAUUAAAAGCAUCAUAAAAACAUAUAACAUAAUUGAUUAUUUCGUAGCCAACCUUGAUAUCAUUUGAGGCUUCAUCUUCUUCAUAGAUUUAUUCAUUGUUGGAGAUUUAUUGAAGAAAUUGAUGUAGCUCAGAAUCCUCGACGAACACCUGUGCAACACGUCCACCGGCGACAUUGCAACACAAUCGACGCAACACAACAAUCGACAGAGAGGUAAUCAGAUUCCUCAACGGUAUUUUUAAUAGAUCUGAAGUAGGAGAUCGAUACGAUUACAACAAAGAGGUUUUCCGUUUAUGUUGACGGUGAGCAUGAACAGAUGGAGGCGUUGUGGUUUAGCUAGAGAGAAGAAUUAGGUUUACGUAUUCAAAUCACAAGAUAUUUCAUCGAAUCUGAUUUGGGAAAAAAAUAAUGCCUUUAAUUUGAAAAUAAUGC